GUCCAUGCCGUAAACGAUGUCUACUAGCCGUUGGGGUCUUUGAGACUUUAGUGGCACAGCUAACGCGAUAAGUAGACCGCCUGGGGAGUACGGUCGCAAGACUAAAACUCAAAUGAAUUGACGGGCGCCCGCACAAGCGGUGGAGCAUGUGGUUUAAUUCGAUGCAACGCGAAGAACCUUACCUGGUCUUGACAUAGUAAGAACUUUCCAGAGAUGGAUUGGUGCCUUCGGGAGCUUACAUACAGGUGCUGCAUGGCUGUCGU
Molecule: ribosomal RNA, 263 nt
Filed under: uncultured bacterium
Lineage: Bacteria
Description: partial 16S ribosomal RNA
Rfam family: Bacterial small subunit ribosomal RNA
Source: RNAcentral